UUAACUGUUUGGGCGAUGGCUCUAUUUUUAAUUUGAAUCAACACAAAAUGAAAAGGGGAAAACUGAUCCUGACAUAGGUGAAACAUAAAGGCCAAAACAAAGUGUCAAUGUUAAAGGAUGUUGGGAGCACUUUUUGUAACUGAGAAGAGUAGUGGAAGCAUGUUAAGAAGGCAGCAAAACAAAACUGAUCAUAUGCUACUUAUAUUUUAUGCACACAUUAAAGACAGCUACACAAUUAAAAAGUGAAAAAAUUCAUGUCAGUGAAACGUUAUUCAUACCUGUAUAUUUUGGCAGUUGAAGGUUCUAGAUAGAAAGUAAAUUCUGCAUAUCUCUAUUCUUCAGAUGUACAAUUAACCAACCGUAUUUUCAAUGAAAAUCUAGGGUCCUAACACAUUCCUGUGUCCGUUUGUUUUAGUGGCAGACAGAAUGCAAGAGUGGUGCGAUUAGGGAGGUUUCCACCCAGAUUUCAGAAGAAACCCUUGGAGCCAGGCAGUACGCCCAUGAGAGGGCAGUGCAUGAAGCUGUAAGAAUGAAACCAAAUGUGGAGUGCAGAUCCCAGGAAAUUGUAAAUGCCAGAAAUUGUGGAAGGUGUGCUGAAGAAAGCCACAAGCACUCCUGCACAAGAGAGGCCACAAGGGCUGUGAACAGCAAUGCCUUAGGGGGGCUUGCAGCUAAAAGUGCCUCGAGGCUCAGAGGUGACUCUGUAUAUGUGCUGCCAAAGCAAGGACUCAGAGACUUUGGACCUGGACUUUUCAUCAGUGCUGGAACUCUUAGAACUUUGGUGACUCUUAAAUAGACUAAAUGUAUGUUGCA
Non-coding RNA from Heterocephalus glaber (naked mole-rat), 813 nucleotides. The record is from RefSeq and is a predicted model, not a curated record. Lineage: Eukaryota; Metazoa; Chordata; Mammalia; Rodentia; Bathyergidae.